This 290-nucleotide ribosomal RNA is filed under the name Bacillaceae bacterium HSR45. RNAcentral's name for it is "partial 16S ribosomal RNA". It matches the Rfam family "Bacterial small subunit ribosomal RNA", at positions 1 to 280 of the family's 1533-position model. The record is from RNAcentral. Lineage: Bacteria; Bacillati; Bacillota; Bacilli; Caryophanales; Bacillaceae.
UUCAUGGAGAGUUUGAUCCUGGCUCAGGACGAACGCUGGCGGCGUGCCUAAUACAUGCAAGUCGAGCGGACCGACGGGAGCUUGCUCCCUUAGGUCAGCGGCGGACGGGUGAGUAACACGUGGGUAACCUGCCUGUAAGACUGGGAUAACUCCGGGAAACCGGGGCUAAUACCGGAUGCUUGAUUGAACCGCAUGGUUCAAUCAUAAAAGGUGGCUUUUAGCUACCACUUACAGAUGGACCCGCGGCGCAUUAGCUAGUUGGUGAGGUAACGGCUCACCAAGGCGACGAU